This 4055-nucleotide long non-coding RNA is filed under the name Mus musculus (house mouse). RNAcentral's name for it is "long non-coding RNA chr3:149501353-149505408". The record is from RNAcentral. Lineage: Eukaryota; Metazoa; Chordata; Mammalia; Rodentia; Muridae.
UGUCAUAGGAAAUAAAGGCAGAGACUCAAUAAAGUCCUAGGCUCUUAAAACAUUUUCUUUUCUUCCCUCAGAGCAGCAAAAUUGAGGGGAGGAGUGUGGCUACAGUGAAUGGGUGUCACUGAGAGUCAUGAAUAGGGAGCACUUUGGUUGGAGAUUCAGAGCUCUGGAGUGUGACUGCGGAGGGAAGCAUGCAUGAAGAUCACUUUGGCUUUUGAAAUGUUAAGUUCCACCCAGUUGUAAGUAGGAGAGACAGUGCUAACCCUGUCACUUUCAUGCUUUCUCUCCAAACUGGAAUGCUACUGUUGGGUUUCAGGAAAAUAAGGAAGGUUUUGGGUGUGUGUCUACCCAAGCAAGGAGGAUUUCAGAGUUGCAGCCAACCUCACUCUGGAAUUAAUCAUCGAAGUUGAUCUCAAUAACAAGCCAUAAGUAUGGCUACAGUGACUUAAGGACUAUUUUAUUAGGCAUAGUCUAUCUUGCAGGGGUCUCUUAUGGGGGGGUCUCAUAGGAAUUCAUGAUACAAAGAAAAAUAAAACCAAGUAAAGCUGAAGUAAGUAGUCAGACAGUCAACUGCACAUGCAAACAAGUAACACAAUGUAAGUUAGCUGAGGCUGUCACCUCAACACAAGCCUAGAGGCACUUUUAACCACUGAGCCAUCUCUCCAGCCCAAGAGGCACUUUUGAAGAGAGAAUAUCAAUAGAGAAACUGUCUCCUUCAAAUUGACCCGUGACUGUGUAUAUGAGGCAAUUUCUUAUUUGAUAACCUGUAUGGGAACUCACUGUGGGUGGUGCCAUUCCCUAGGCAGAAUGAUCUGGGCUAUAUAAUAAAGCUGAGCAAGCUAGGGGAAACAAGCUUUUUGGUCCUGGUGUUUAUAAGAGUAAUAGAAAAUCCACAAGUAGAACAGGUAGGGAGCAGGGGAAGGGAUGAAGCAUGUGUAGAACAUUCUGGUGAGACAGUUUGGGGAGGAGUGAUGACCUAGAUGAAAGUAUGACACUGAUGAAGUAAGGAUGGGAACCUGGGUGUGUAAGAUGCAGGUGUGAUAACCCUGUAGGAGUGAGAAGUGGGCUGGAGCAAAGAGAAACAGUAUAGCGGACAACUGGGAAGGAGGCAGGGUUUGCUUAGUGUGGGGAGUCAUAGGUGCUGAUGCCUCCAAAGUGUCCAAAGCUAAAAACUUACAGUGCAGAGUGGGAGGCACACAGAGCAUAGGAAGACACAGAGGGACUAGUCAGCCCACUUCACAGGGAGUAAAGGGUGGCCAGGGCUUGAGCUUCGAGGUGUUUUUCUUGGCUCAGGUGAUGCUGUAUGAAGACAGCUUGGGUAUGUGAUGAAAAAUGAGAAAGGAUUGGUACAGCAAUCACUCUAUGAGUGUUGACAUAGAAAGGUGAAGUUGAGAAAGAAGCCAUGGAACAGGCUGUCUUCUUGGGCUCACCUUAAAUCCCACAAGGAUUCUGGGAUACAAAGGAAAACAUGCUAUUGUUUUGGAAAAUAUGGAGAUAAAACAGAGAGACCAUCCAACUUAAUUCCUUUGAAAUGAACAUAAAUAAUUUCCAUUGCUGUUAUUCCAAAGGAAUGCCUUUUGACCUCCUGGUGGGCUCAAACAAUCUGUAGGAAGAAUCUUAACACGCUGAACCAAGUGUACACGUGUGCUAUUUAUCUCUAGGGAAAACUGGACCUUACCCCACAGACAUCAUGUAUCUUUAUCUAUAAAAUGGUUUUCUUUUGUUUCUCUUGUUUAGCUAGUCAUGUGAGAAAUUAACACUUGAUAUUUAUAAGCCAAGCUAUAAAAUUGCCAGAACUGACUAGAGACUAACUCAGUUUUCAUACUGAAAAAAUUGUUGGUAAUAUUCCCUCACCUUUCAGCGAGGAUAAUUGGUUAGCUAGAAAUGGCUUGACUUAGUGCAGAUUUUUAAUUGUUGUUAUCUUUACUUUUUAAUUAUAAAUUAAUUUUGGUUUAGCUUAUUCAUUUCCAUUUUUAUUUUCUUAUUCCUAGGCUUUCAGAAUGUAGCUGUGGAUAUUUGAUAUCAUCAUAUUUCUAGCCUGUAAUAUCCCUUAAGCUAUGAAUCCCAGUUUACCAGUAUUUGAAUACAAACCAUUCUUUACCAGUUGCUGAAAUGAGUGGCUAAUUAAUUUCUUUCCUUUAACUUUCAAAUUGCUUAAGCCUUGGAAUUAUUACCAAUUGAAUUUAUUUUCCAGGAAGAACUGGUCAAGAAGAGUCAGAUAGCUGGCUCAAUGGGUUAAAAGUUCUUCCCACACAAUCCUGAAGACUUGAGUUGAGUACACCGGAUCCACAAAAAUACAGUAGUCGUGUUUCACAACUGUAACCCCAAAACUUCUAUUGGGCAGUAGAAGGUAGGGACAGGAAAAUCACCCUGAUGCUCACACUCCAGCCAAGGGGUAGAAACAAGAUGGAUCUUGCCUCAACAGUGAAAAGGGAAGUUUACUGCUCACAAUGAAAGGGUCACCAUCCAUUGCACAGGGAAAGAGCCGGAAACAGAAGAUGCACACCUCAUUUUUGGGGAAGCCGAGGACUGAAGGCAUCUGCUGGGUUCACUUUUUAGAGUCUCAGAACCAUGGAAUGGUGCUGUCCUCAGGCUGGGUGGCUCUUCUUACCUCAGUGAAUCUAAUCUAGACAGUCCCUCACAGAAAUGCCUGGAGAUGUGUCUCCAUGGUGACCCUGAGUUCCAUCAAAAUGAAAAUCUGGAGGAAACAUCGAAGGAGCUGUGUCCCCAGUCCUGCAAUGACAGUUUAACCUCACUUUGUUAACUAGCUAUUUACGUGCUAUGAAGGGACCUAACUUUGUAGUCUCAUUUUUUCCCAUCUGUAAAGUACUUUGCAUUUCUAUGUUAUUUUGGGGAACUUAGUAAUAAGGUAAAAAUAAAUCAUAGAGCAUUUGACUCUAUAACAGGUCAGGCAUUAUUGUUUGUAUUCUGAGAGGGUGUCUCAUGUGGUCCAGGUUGGCCUCCAAUGACUGGUCCUUCUAUUGCAAUUCCUGAAUGGAGGGGUAACAGAUGUUUACCACUAUGUCCUUGCUUGGGUCCCAUAUUGUUGAAAGAGCUUUGCAAGCUUAUCAACAUGGGGAUGAAACUGUUAAUAUCAGCCAGUGCUUAUGCCAUGCAGGUUAAAACAAUAAACGACUUAAAAGCCUACUUGACCAGUGACAAUAGAAUAAUUUUAGAGAGACUAAAGGGUCAGAACUUGCCAUAGAGGGAAGCAAAGGAGGCUGAAGAAGGAAUAUAAUAUACAAAAACACUGAAAAAUCGCCUCUAAUUGCAUAUGAUAAGAACAACUUCAGAGAACUCCUUUGUGGGACUGGAUGUAUUGUGGCCAAAAAUGAAACUGCACAGAGAAUAUUUUUAAGUGGAAUAAUAGUCCAUUUAUUAACUCUAUAAUCCAUGGCUAGGGAUAAAUGAAUCUGUUACCCUGUUUCCCCCUCUCUGAUUCUGCAGUUUUUCCUUAGCUUACCUACCGUUUACAUUUUUGCUUUGAGACAGUGCUUAUGAAAUUACCCAGGGAUAUGUACUCUUGGUUAGCUUGAACAUGGAGUUCUACUGCCUCUGCCUCCUGAGUAUCCCUGAUUAUCAUCGGCCACCCUAGCCUCAGUAUGUCUCUCUCUGUUACUGUAUCCUAAUCAGAUACUGACUCAAAUAGUUAUUUUCUAUUUAAUGGAAAUGUACUUUCUAUUCAAUCAAGAAGACAAUUACUAUUUAUUUUAAAACCCUGUUUAUUCAUCUAUUUGUGUGUGUACCUGUGUGUGUGCUUGUGUGUGUAUGCAUGCGAACCUGUGUGUGUAUACAUUUGUGUAUAUAUGUGUUUCUGUACCUAUAUGUGUGUGUGUGUGUGUAUGCAUGGGUGCACAGAUGUUAUGACAUUCUUGUGUCACAUGUAGAGGGCAGAGGACCCCACAUAGUGGAGUCUGUCUUCACUGAGUCCCAGGUUUCAAACUCAGGCUCUUAGGAUGAAAGCAAGCAACCAUCUUGCCGACCCAAAGUAGAUGAUUUUUGACAGAUGUAACCAUUAUCUGACAGCUAGUAGUUUACGUUAUUAAAAACUACCUGAG